This 5548-nucleotide small RNA is filed under the name Pongo abelii (Sumatran orangutan). Its description in RNAcentral is "retained intron". Lineage: Eukaryota; Metazoa; Chordata; Mammalia; Primates; Hominidae. The record is from RNAcentral.
GGCUGGGAGUGCUUCGCUCAGCCAAUCCGGGCGCGCCCGGGCGUUGCGGCCCCGCCUCCUCUCCGGCGCUCGGGACUGGUAGCGCUCCGCGGGAAGGAGGCUGGAACCCCGGCAGCAGUGGCACGGGGAUGGAGGCGGCAGUGGUGCCGGGGAGGGAUGCGCGGGCACCCGCGGCGAGUCAGCCCAGCGGGUGCGGGAAACACAACUCGCCGGAGAGGAAAGUUUAUAUGGACUAUAAUGCAACCACUCCCCUGGAGCCAGAAGUUAUCCAGGCCAUGACCGAGGCCAUGUGGGAAGCCUGGGGAAAUCCCAGCAGCCCGUAUUCAGCAGGAAGAAAGGCCAAGGAUAUUAUAAAUGCAGCUCGGGAAAGCCUCGCGAAGAUGAUAGGGGGGAAACCUCAAGAUAUAAUCUUCACUUCCGGGGGUACUGAGUCAAAUAAUUUAGUAAUCCAUUCUGUGGUGAAACAUUUCCACGCAAGCCAGCCCUCAGAGGCACACACAGGUGCGCACCACAGCCCAGUGAAGGGGGCCAAGCCCCAUUUCAUUACUUCCUCGGUGGAACACGACUCCAUCCGGCUGCCCCUGGAGCACCUGGUGGAAGAACAAGUGGCAGCCUACUCAGUGUGAAGAUGAUGAAGAUGAAGACCUUUAUGAUGAUCUGCUUCCACUUAAUUAAUACGGUCACCUUUGUCCCAGUGUCCAAGGUGAGCGGGCAGGCAGAGGUGGACGACAUCCUCGCGGCAGUCCGCCCAACCACAUGCCUCGUGACCAUCAUGCUGGCCAACAAUGAGACUGGCGUUGUCAUGCCUGUCCCUGAAAUCAGCCAGCGCAUUAAAGCCCUGAACCAGGAACGGGUGGCAGCUGGGCUGCCUCCCAUCCUCGUGCACACGGAUGCUGCACAGGCCUUGGGGAAGCAGCGCGUGGAUGUGGAGGACCUGGGCGUGGACUUCCUUACAAUCGUGGGGCACAAGUUUUAUGGUCCCAGGAUUGGCGCACUUUAUGUACGAGGACUUGGUGAAUUUACCCCUCUCUACCCUAUGCUAUUUGGAGGUGGACAAGAAUGGAAUUUCAGGCCAGGGACAGAGAACACCCCAAUGAUUGCCGGCCUUGGGAAGGUGAGCCCUGGUGAGCUUGAGGAGACGAGUUGAUUGCUUUGUCAUCAGUGUCCCCAGCCGCUGUAGUAGGAAUCUGGGGCUUUAGGGAGAUCAUAUUCGUGAUCUCAUAAGCGGACUGAUGAGAAAAAGCCUAGAAUCUGAUUUAUCAACCUGGAGAGCUGUACUUUUUCAGAUCUGUGGAUUAGUGGCACUUGUUUAGCAUUUAAAAGGGAAAAACUCCUUGUCUCUGUCUCUUCUGACAUGAGAAACAGUGAUACUGUUACAGCAGAGGUGAAGCGUCAGGCCGCAGGUUCACCACUCCCAAAGGCGUCGGCAGCCCCCACACCAUCGACGUUCUGUCCCCGACUGGUCUGUGGGGUGGCCAAUCCAGCACCUGCCACCAGCCCUCCACUGGGGCCUGUCCUGCUUCUGCGACAGUAACCAGGCUCAGGUUUUGCUGUGCGAAGGCAGAGGUACUGGUCACACCUCAGCGUGUGCAGGCUGCUCCCUUACUCUGCAGGCUCUGCUCAGAGGCCACCACCUUCAAGCAACCCUCCAUGAGCCACACCUACAUUGGUCCUCCCAUGUCCCCUGCUGUCACUCUCUAUCCCUAACACUGCUUUAUUUCCCCUAUCUGAUGUUUCUCUGUAGUGUGUUCAGAUGUAUGCACCACCUCCUGCUUCCCCGAGAGCAGGGGCUUGGCCAUGUCGGCCUCAGCAUCCCCAGUACAGAGAAAGGGCUUGGCGCCCAGGAGGCCGGGCCUUGGGAAGAGUAUGAAUGGAUUCCCUGUUACUUAGAAUAUUCAAAAUUAUUAAUAGUGAUAACUAAGGCUACAUUUACUAGAAGGAAGAGUGUGUAUUUGUUUGUUUGUUUGAGAUGGAGUCUUACUGUGUCACCCAGGCUGGAGUGCAGUGGCACAACCUUGGCUCACUGCAACCUCCACCUCCCGGGUUCAAGAGAUUCUCCCACUUCAGUCUCCAAGUAGCUGGAACUACAGGCAUGCACCACCAUGCCUGGCUAAUUUAUGUGUUUUUAGUAGAGACGGGGUUUCACCAUGUUGGCCAGCUGGUCUCGAACAACUAACCUCCGGUGAUCCACCUGCCUUGACCUCCCAAAGUGCUGGAAUUAUAGGCGUGAGCCACUGCGCCCGGCCGGAAGAGUGUGUUUUAAGUGGAGUCCAGUACCUGCUUGUGUUGACCUGAAUGAUGAAGUAGUGGUGCAGUCCACAGGCUUUGAAAUACCCAGGGUUCAAAUCCUGGCUCGAAGCUUCACUCACCAUGUGCCUUGGGUCAGGUCGCUGGAACUCCCUGAGUCCUGGCUAUCCCCCCUGCCAGAUAGGAAUCAUGGUAACAGCUUCCUAGAUAGAGCCUCAGCUCGCAGUGCUUGAAGACCCCCAGCCCCAGCACCACACCCCCACUGGUUCUUCAGCUUCGCCCAGCCCAGACCCCAAUGCUACCAGUGCUCUAGACAGCCCCCCUCCGCCGCCCAGCCUGGACUCCAUCCUGCACAUGCCCUCCCCAGUGUGCUUUCCCACACCCAUUCCUUUCUGCCUUGGUUGCAUGCUGGCAGCCCUUCCCUGCACCCCUUGUGGAUCUGUCUGUCCGUCCCGUCACUGUGAUGCUAGCCUGUGCUCCUGCCUUUGAACUUGACAUCUCUGCUAGGCCCUGGCCCAUCUCCUGAGAGACCCAUUCCUCUGAGUUCAAAACCUGUCCCGACCGCUGUCCUCUACCCUCUGCCCACCCUGGGCAUCUUCCACUAUCCAGGUUCUCUCUUCUGAAGUCCAGGAGAUGCCCUCAGUCCUUCCUUGUCAUCGUCCCUGCCUCUCAAGCAGCACCUGUCCUGUCCUGUCUGGACUCCAGAAUACACCCACUGCCAGCCUCAUGUCCAUUUUCAUGGCCACCAACCCUAGACCAAGGGUCUGGAUGCCUGCCAUGGCCUCCUGGGGGCCUGCUGCUGCCAUUUGCCACACGGCCACAGAGUGACCAACACACAGGCCAGUCAGACCAUCACAUCCCUCCCUCAGAGCCUCACUGCGUCUGCCCCAUGGCCAGGCCUGCAGGGCCUGUCGAUCUGUCCCUGCGCCUUUACCCCCUCCGCACUCUCCACCCGCCACACCAGGCCCCUCUGUUCUAGAGUCAGAAUGGCUGUCUGUUCCCUUCAAAGCCCUUGCUGGGAUGCCAUUCCCUGCCCUUGUGCAGCCAUCUCUGUCACCACCCCACUUUGGGCCUGUGAGGUCCCUUCACAGCGCCCACUAGUGGGUAGGAGUCUGUUCCCCUCUUCCCCUGCUUUUGUCCGUCUGCCUCUCUGGGAUGCUGACUCCUCGAGGGUUGGGAUCCCUUUCAGGGCUGCUUUGCUGGGGCAUCUCCAGUGCCUGGCGCUGUCAGGAGGUGCCUGGUGAAGUCAAUUUCUGGGGCACUUGCACACCCUCCAAAUGGCAGCACUCAAAAAAUAUGUCCUGUCUGUGACUGUCAGGAGAAUGAGCAGUUUCAGGAAAUGCCACCUGUACCAUUGAAAGCUUUUUUGCCCUCCUUUGUUUUGCAAGAAUUGUGCAUCCACUCGUUGUGUGUCUGCCCCCAGGCCGCGGAGCUGGUGACCCAGAACUGCGAGGCUUAUGAGGCCCACAUGAGGGACGUCCGCGACUACCUGGAGGAGAGGCUGGAAGUGAGCGCAGCAUGGGGUGGGCAUCAGGAGGGGGAGGGUGUGUGGGGCAGGUGCCCAGAGAGAGGGGGCGUGGUGCUCCUGGACCCCAGGACCUGUGGGGAUUGCAGCGUAGCCUGGAACUCAGCAGGACACAGUGAGGGAAGAAAGAACAGUGGCGGGAAGUACAUGGGGAUCUGAAACCCCGAAAGCAGGACCCUAGGCCAGGGGCAUGAUCUUUUUCAGAGACACAGGAUCAAAUAUGCAGAGGUAGUAUACUUCAUGGUUUAUGUGGAAGGUUCAUAUGUUUCCGAAUAUUUGGUUUUUCUCCUAAUUAACUUUGCUUUCCAUAGUCUGUACCCAUAACUAUUCUCGGUAGAUGCUGAUUGAAAAGUAUGCACCUGCUGAGGUUGUGUUUCUGGAAAAGUCUAAAUUUCAAACAGUUGCUGGUGGUGGUGGCUUUGAAGCUGUCACCAAAUAUUUCACUUAUUUUUUUCAGGCUGAAUUCGGUCAGAAGAGAAUCCAUCUGAAUAGCCAGUUUCCAGGCACCCAGCGGCUUCCCAACACCUGCAACUUCUCCAUCCGGGGACCCCGGCUUCAAGGCCAUGUGGUGCUUGCGCAGUGCCGAGUGCUGAUGGCCAGUGUGGGGGCCGCGUGCCACUCGGACCACGGGGACCAGCCGUCCCCAGUGCUUCUGAGCUACGGCGUCCCCUUCGACGUGGCCAGGAACGCGCUCCGGCUCAGCGUGGGCCGCAGCACCACCAGGGCCGAGGUGGACCUCGUCGUGCAGGACCUGAAGCAGGCCGUGGCGCAGCUGGAGGACCAAGCCUAGCGCCAGGGCCGCCCUCCCCGCGCCGCUUCUAGGAAGCCCGUAGCAGGGCACCGAGUUGUCCCUCCAGUUCCCUCCUGAGGGCUGUGCCAGGAUGACUGUCUCAUGCCCCCUCUGCAUUUUGUCCUGGAGUGCCUGCGAGUGUGCACCCCCAGUUUCCUUCCCUGGACCCCUGCAGAGCUCACAGGGCCCAGGACACCAACGCCGCAUAGGACCGCCCGCAUAGGACCGCCCACAUAGAACCGUCCUCCAGUGGUGAAGCGGAAACACUUCAGCUUCAUCCACCCUCCCCACUGGGAACUGGGCAAGCCUGUUGUGAGUGCCCUUUCCUGGAAGGUGUUUUUAUCUGGAAGAUAGAAUCCAAGUAUUUAUAACUCAUUGUCAGCCAAAUGCUAUCAUGAACAUAGGAAACUCGAUUUUUUUGUUUUGAUCAUGGCCUCGCACAUGCACCUUUCCAGAGUGGUUUCUUCUCAGGCCCUUUUUAGUCCCUUUCCAAAGCUGCCCUCACCACCCUGCUCCUCUGGCCUCAGUGCACAGUGGCCCCCAGCCUCGGCCAGGCCUGCUCUGCUCAGCGCCCACUGCCCACCACCCCUCCUGCUUCCCCAAGCCUGACCCUGUUCCACCCACUGGUAAUCAGGGCUGCGCGCUUCCCCAUCCACAGUCCCCAGGCCUUCCUGUCUUGUCCCUUUUGAUCAUUAACUCAGGGUUUCAGCUCCAACCUCGCUGAGCUGGUGGAGCUCUGGGUCAUUCCUGGGGUGGGAAUCGGAUCAUCCCUGACUCAGCUUUUACCUUAAUUUUAUUUGCAGAGGAUUCUUUUCUCAAAAUGCUCUGGCAUUUGGACACACAUCACAUGUCGAUAUUUGCAUAGGAGUCAUUUUCAGUGGAAUAACAUUUUUAAUGUGUGGUUUUACGGUUCAAGGAACUACAUGAUGAUUUUGAGGAAACACUUGCCAGAAACUAAAUUAACGAAUAAAAGAUUUCAGUGCCCG